RNAcentral lists this ribosomal RNA (459 nucleotides) under uncultured bacterium. RNAcentral's name for it is "SSU rRNA". It matches the Rfam family "Bacterial small subunit ribosomal RNA", at positions 26 to 518 of the family's 1533-position model. The record is from RNAcentral.
AGAAUCAACGCUGGCGGCGUGCCUAACACAUGCAAGUCGCACGAGAAAGGGGAGCAAUUCCUGAGUAAAGUGGCGCACGGGUGAGUAACACGUGAAUAAUCUACCUCCGAGUGGGGAAUAACUGAGAGAAAUCUUAGCUAAUACCGCAUAACACUUACGAGUCAAAGCAGCAAUGCGCUUGGAGAGGAGUUCGCGGCCGAUUAGUUAGUUGGCGGGGUAAUGGCCCACCAAGACGAUGAUCGGUAUCCGGCCUGAGAGGGCGCACGGACACACUGGAACUGAAACACGGUCCAGACUCCUACGGGAGGCAGCAGUGGGGAAUUUUGCGCAAUGGGGAAACCCUGACGCAGCAACGCCGCGUGGAGGAUGAAGCCCCUUGGGGUGUAAACUCCUUUCGAUCGGGAAGAUAAUGACGGUACCGAUAUAAGAACGCCCGGCUAACUUCGUGCCAGCAGCCGC